This 420-nucleotide ribosomal RNA is filed under the name uncultured crenarchaeote. Its description in RNAcentral is "bacterial SSU rRNA". It matches the Rfam family "Archaeal small subunit ribosomal RNA", at positions 459 to 879 of the family's 1478-position model. The record is from RNAcentral. Lineage: Archaea; Thermoproteati; Thermoproteota.
CAGCCGCCGCGGUAACACCAGCCCCUCGAGUGGUGGGGACUAUUAUUUGGCCUAAAGCGUCCGUAGCCGGCUGCAGCCGUCACCCGUUAAAUCCAGCGUCUCAAGCGUUGGACUGCGGGUGAUACCCUGCAGCUUGAGGGUGGGACAGGUUAGCGGUAUUCCCGGGGUAGGGGCGAAAUCCUUUGAUCCCGGGAGGACCACCAGUGGCGAAGGCUGCUGACUAGAACACGCCUGACGGUCAGGGACGAAAGCUGAGGUAGCGAACCGGAUUAGAUACCCGGGUAGUCCCAGCUGUAAACGAUGCACGCUAGGUGUUGGGUCGGCCACGCGCCGCCCCAGUGCCGCAGGGAAGCCGUUAAGCGUGCCGCCUGGGGAGUACGGCCGCAAGGCUGAAACUUAAAGGAAUUGGCGGGGGAGCAC